Molecule: long non-coding RNA, 2138 nt
Organism: Olea europaea var. sylvestris
Lineage: Eukaryota; Viridiplantae; Streptophyta; Magnoliopsida; Lamiales; Oleaceae
Exons: 6
Source: RefSeq, a predicted model, not a curated record
AACUCUGUGUCGACGGAGGAUCCAGCCAGAGAGUUUAUCCACGAAGGAUAGCGGUUGCAGUCCCGUCACCCAAAAAUAAAAAAGAAAAAAAAGAUCUAGCCAAAUUAAUCUAUUAAAUAAUAAUGCAAAAAACUUUAAAAUAAUGAAAAAAGUGGAGGAUCGUGGAAUCAUUAGAAUUGAUAAGAUGGUUAAAAUCCAGCAACAGAACCACAGGAUUCUACAAUUCAAUUUUCCUAUUAGAAUUGGAUCGUAGAAUAGAACUAUAUAUGAUCAUAACAUCGGGAUCGAGAGAAUAUAACAACCAUGGUUCUACUUUCUUCAAACAUCUACCAAGGGUCUAUAAUUUAACAUCUAAUUUUCAGCAGCUAAUGAUUUUUAUUGGUAUAUUAUAUUAUGUUCAUUUAUCUGAAAUUGAUUGAAGGAAUCAGUAAAGUUGCAGACUGCAUCAAUGGUGGUCAGCAGUCAGAAUUAUGCUAUCACCAUUCCACUAGGGAAUUUUGAUACGGAAGCUUAAGCCCUUCUACACGCUGAACCUGUUUUGUGAUGGCAAGUAGGAAGGCAAUCACAGAGGUCAUAUUGGAUCAUGGUUUAGUUGCUGAAAGAAGGCCGUGAACAAUGAAGCCUAGAUUCAAACACAAGGCAGAAUGGAGAGAUACUUACCAAUGUUUGCAGGCAAGCAUUAGCAUUUGGCACUACGGCUUCAAUCAUCUGAUUUCCAUGUAUGGAUCUGAGAAGAACGGAAGUACAGAAACUACAAUCAAAGAAAGGGGGUCACAAAUUUACAAAAUGACAUUAACACAAGAGUUGGAAUUUGGAAGGUAAAAGGUCUUAGCAGAGGGAAAAAGAUACGAGUAAGCAACUUUGGAAAUCUUGACUUGUCUAAAAUCUCACUUCCUCGACGAGCCUACAAGUUGAUUGGACAGCGCACUUACCAUAUAAUGAGUCAAAUUAUCAAAAUCCCCAAACAUUCGUUGAAGAGCAGGAUGGAGAGGCCAGGAGUUUUCAUUUUAAGAAUCUAUUAAGGCAAAACAUGCUAACUUUUUGGAAUGAUCGACUGGCUGAGAUCCGUAACUCUCGGGGUGGUGCAAAAUUCUCCAACCGUUUGACCAAUUUGUUUUACUUAAUUUUUGCUGCUCCACUUGCUUUACUUAAUUUUUGUUUCUAUCCACCUUGUUCCCAUGUCAUUAACUUGCAAUUAUUUACGGUUCAGAAUUAUCUAAAUCUCUUUAUACCUGAUAUGAGCUCUAAACUUUUUGCACUGAGAAAAGAAUUUAUGCUAGAAACGAAAGGUUGGACCAUCAAUUCAAUAUAAUUCAUAAUCAUCCGGUUAUGAUGAAUCUAAACCAGCCCAUUAUGUAUAGAGUAAUGCUACCUAGUACUAGUAAUUCUUGAACACCAGUUUAGGUAGCGUUUAAUGAUAAAGUCAAUGAAAUGUUGAAUUAAAUUAUUCAUUUAAUUAUAUCUCUCAUUUAAUGCUACAUUAGUGCCCCAUAGACCGAUAUUUUAACAUUAAUGGUGCUAAAUAACUUUGCUAUUAUGUUUAUGAUUCGACAAGCCAACUACAAACAACUUAUUAGAAAUAGAAGACACCCAAUUCGAAAUGUCAUGAAAUCCUCUGCUCUUCGGGGAUGUCCUCAGUUCUCUUCAUCCUUGAGGGCCUUGCCAAAAGUUUUUUUGUUGCACAUGUACUUCUUAAAGUCUAUGAAUACGUGAUCUUGUAAUGAAUUUUCUCAUUUUACCCCUCUUUGCAGUUAUUGUGAAAAAAUGUAAUCAAUAUGAAAGGACUUUUUGCUAAUGGAGGAUCGAAUCUUGUAAACAUGAAAGAAAUAGUAUGACUCCUUUUUUCCAUCAAUGAUCCAAAAGAAAAAAAAUGCCUCGCAAUUUUUCAGGCUAUAAUUAUUCCAAUAUACACUUAAGUCAAAAAGCACUAGUAACUACUGCUAUUUUACAUUUGCCCAUGUGGUAAUGGCUGAAAUUAAUGAGUGCAUUGAUUUUUAGAGUUAUUGAAUUGAUAAAUUGAAAUCCAUAUUUUAUCUUGUUGUUGGAAACCAAAAAAAAAUUAAAUAAAAAAUAAAUAAAAAAUAAAAAAAUGGUGUUUCUUCUGCAUAGACUUCAUUUGUUAAUUAUUUUAUUUUCUU